Non-coding RNA from Picea glauca (white spruce), 121 nucleotides. NCBI's taxonomy places the organism in Eukaryota, Viridiplantae, Streptophyta, Pinopsida, Pinales, Pinaceae. The record is from Rfam.
ACAUGCCUACAACAUAGUGUUGAUGCACUGGAUCCCAUUAGAGCUUGAUAGUUAAGCACGCUCAAGCUAGAGUAGUACUAGGAUGGGUAAUUUCCCAAGAAGUCCUAGUAUUUUACAUGCC